AGAGUUUGAUCCUGGCUCAGAACGAACGCUGGCGGCGUGGCUAAGACAUGCAAGUCGAACGAACCGGUCAAUUGGGUAACUGAGAGACCGGUUAGUGGCGAAAGGGUGAGGAAUAGAUAGGUAACGUACCCUGAACUUCGGGAUAGCGUCAUAUCCGCAAGGAUAUUUCCGAAAGGGGCAUUAAUACCGAAUAAUAUGGAGAGUCGAAUGACUUUUUAUCAAAGAUUCAUCGGUUUGGGAGCGGCCUAUCUCCUAUCAGCUAGUUGGUGAGGUAAUUGCUCACCAAGGCUAUGACGGGUAGCGGGACUGAGAGGUUGGCCCGCCACAUCGGAACUGAGACACUGUCCGGACCUCCACGGAGGGCUGCAGUAACGAAUAUUGGGCAAUGGGCGAAAGCCUGACCCAGCGACGCCGCGUGCGGGAGUAAGUCCCUCGGGAUGUAAACCGCUGUCAGGUAAAAGAAAGUCCGUAAGGAUUGAUCUAUUCCAAAGGAAGCCACGGCUAACUUCGUGCCAGCAGCCGCGGUAAGACGAAGGUGGCGAGCGUUGUUCGGAAUCACUGGGCUUAAAGCGCAUGUAGGCGGACUGGAAAGCGCCUUGUGAAAGCCCCCGGCUUAACCGGGGCAUUGCUUGGCGAACCGCCAGUCUUGAGGCAAGCAGGGGUGCAUGGAACUCUUGGUGGAGCGGUGGAAUGCGUAGAUAUCAAGAGGAACGCCAGCGGUGAAGACGGUGCACUGGGCUUGUUCUAACGCUGAGAUGCGAAAGCGUGGGGAGCAAACGGGAUUAGAUACCCCGGUAGUCCACGCCCUAAACGAUGCCUACUAGGUUGUGGGAGUUCUGACACUCUCGUAGCCGAAGCAAAAGUGUUAAGUAGGCCGCCUGGGGAGUACGGUCGCAAGGCUAAAACUCAAAGGAAUUGACGGGGGCUCACACAAGCGGUGGAGCAUGUGGAUCAAUUCGAAGCAACGCGCAGAACCUUACCUGGGUUCGACAUGGUUGGAUGGUUGCCUGGAAACAGGUUAAUCUGCCCGCAAGGGUGAAACUUCCACAGGUGCUGCAUGGCUGUCGUCAGCUCGUGUCGUGAGAUGUCGGGUUAAGUCCCUUAACGAGCGAAACCCUCGUCGUUAGUUACCAUCAGUUCAGCUGGGGACUCUAACGAGACUGCCGGUGUUAAACCGGAGGAAGGCGGGGAUGACGUCAAGUCCUCAUGGCCUUUAUGCCCAGGGCCUCACACGUGCUACAAUGGCGACUACAAAGCGACGCAAGGCCGCAAGGCGGAGCAAAUCGCAAAAAAAGUCGCCUCAGUUCAGAUUGCAGGCUGCAACUCGUCUGCAUGAAGUUGGAAUCGCUAGUAAUCGCGGAUCAUCUACGCCGCGGUGAAUGUGUUCCUGAGCCUUGUAC
RNAcentral lists this ribosomal RNA (1400 nucleotides) under metagenome. RNAcentral's name for it is "bacterial SSU rRNA". It matches the Rfam family "Bacterial small subunit ribosomal RNA", at positions 8 to 1386 of the family's 1533-position model. The record is from RNAcentral.